AAGUUGGGGAACCCCCCCCAAGUCCUUUCCCACAGUGAGGAGAGCAGACUUUGGGAGAAUGGGGAAGCCACUCCAAACGGGAUAAUCUGGUGUGGGGAAGCAGACAGCGAGACAGUAAAAGGUUGUAGAUCUUCCAUGGACCCUCAAAUCUUCAGUUACCGAAAAUUCACAAAAUGCAUGGUGAAGUGGUUUGUUUGUUUGGAGUGGGUAGGGGUUACGUGAAAACCAGUGAUAGAGGAAGCAUCUCAGCCAGGGUGUCUUGGAAAGGAAUAGCACACAGAGACCCAGGGACACACCAGCAGGCAGGUGCCCAAAGGAGGGUCUCAGUUUGCAGAAUCCCAGGGUCCAAGUUGCCACAGGCUCCAAGGCCAGGCUUAACCAGGUGCCCAGGUCUGUGGGCACCUCCAGGAGCCAAGGAGGACGGAGGGCAGCAGGCAGGUAUCAGCAGAGAAGACUGUCCCCAGAGCCCCUGCCAUGGGAGCCCCCCUGUCUUUUGUGACCUCACAGGAGGCGGGUGGGUGACUCUUCGCUUCAGGGCCUUAGCCCAAACGGACGCCAGAGCCUUCCCCCAGGGCAGGGGCACGCGGCCCCUCGGCGAGGGAGCCGGGACAUUAGGCAGCUCCAUGUAGGUGCACGCUUAGGUCAGGAGGAUCCACCAUGAAGAAGGGCAAGAGGAAGAAGUCAGAAACCAGGCGCCGGGGCUCCACCUCCCUGCACGCCAGCUCCGAAUCCACCCCCCAGCAGCAGAGCUCAGAGUCCAGUUCCCAGCAGCCUGUCUCCGGAUCCAGCCCGCGACCACCCAGCCCCAAGCCCACCUCUCAGCUGCCCAGCUCGGGAUCGGCCCCCCUGACACCCAACCCAGCACCUGCCCCACCGCCACCCAGCCCAGGGCCCACCCCACAGCAGCCCAGCUCAGGGUGCACCUCACAGCCCAGCAGCAACUCUACUCCCCCGCAGCCUGCACCCCGAGCCCUCCCAGCUCCAGAAGUCAGCCAUAGCCACUCGGCUCGGGACAUCGUGUCUCCAGACCCCAACUCCAAAGCAUCCUCUCGGUCCAAGAAAGCAGCAGGGCCUCUGAUUCUAGUGGGCCCACGUGCAUUCUGUUCCUGUUCCAUUUGCCCCGGCAGCUCUGCUUGCUGGCGUCGUCUGGGCCUCUGCCACAGCCGCAUCUUCGAUGUCCUUCUGCCUCGGGCCUGGCCGACCAUGUCAGGGAGAGGAUUCCCAAACCUCCUCACCUUUUACAGAAGACCUCCAAGAAAACAUUCCACUCAUCGUAAUUCGCGUGCUCCGAGCCCUCGGAACUGUUGCUGUGGCUCUGGGAGCCCUAGGAGCUGCCUACUACAUCCUUGAAUCUUUGUGAACAAGUCCCCAGGCCCGCAGUCCGGCAGGGCCUACUGGCAUGGCUCUCUCGGGCAGCCCUGGACACUCAUGGACAACGCUAGACCCGUUAUUGGGAUCGUCAAAACAGAGAUUUCCCUGUUCCCUGCUGACCUGGGGUGGUUCCUCUCCUCGCAGACACCAGCUAGGAGGAGACAGGAGAGAUCCAGUUUUCCAUCAAGGAUCUCUCUUGUCACCAAAAUAGAACAAAACAAAACAAAAAAAAAAUCAAAAAAAGGAGUUCUGUUUCUUUAGUGUAUUUUACCUAGAGACACAAAAGUUGGUCUUGGCAAAUGGGUAGGGAAAUGUGAGGGCCUUGGUGACUUUGUGAGCCCCCCCGCCCCAAGGUAAACCAAGGUGGAAUCCUGCCCUUCCUUUUGGGGGCCACGGACCCAAGGGAGGCAACUUUCUCUGCACACACUCACAGAAGAAACAAUUUCAGAUUUUCCUAUUCUAAAUGCAGGAAUUAGGCAACUUAAUUCAGUACCUAAGGUAACUAGUCAAUGGGCACUAAUAUCCACCACCAGAAAACUCUGUCCCUGGGAAAUGGCUUCAUUCAGCUUCACCUGGGAUGGAGGAAGUUCAAAGCCCGUCGAGGCGUGGCUCACAGCCUUGUGGUUUGUCGGGUGACGUAGCUGCCCCCAGCCAGUGCCUGCUGGGUCUGGACAUCUAGUUCCUGGACCGGCUGAGGCAGAAGUCUUAGUUCAAGGUGAUCCCAGGAAACACCAAUAGGGGAGACAGGUGUGGAACAGGUGCAGUGGCCACUGGGGGCAGAUGAAGCUGUAUCCUUCUAACACAGUGCAAGGAAACAGAACACAUACCUCAGAGUCACCCUGCCCCGGAGGGGAAGUUGGGUAUUAUUUAUACACUCAUCGGUUAAGGGCUCCUGGGAGGGAGGUGGUUAAUUUUGUGCCCUGCCCCCUCUGUGGGGAGGGGGCCCAGGGGAAUGCAGAUGGUGGAAGUUGGGAGUUGAGAAUGCACUGAAGCCUGUUACCCAAACAGGAAGGGGUGGGUAGCAGGGAGAGGUGAGGACAACCCCUAACUCAAGUGAGCGAGUGCACAGAGCACCUGGGUGACCCGCUCGCCUCUAAGAAGGGGCCAGGCUUGAACCAGCAGGACAGCCCUAGGGGAGGCAGGUCCACCUGCAACAGCACAGGUGGGAUUGAGCAAGAAGGUGGGGGAGUGGGAGGAAGGGGAAGGCAGGUUGCCAGGAAUCCCAGAGCCCACCCACCACCUCCCAAUCCCAGGAUUUCCCUUCCUGAGCAGACACUGGGAGACUUGGAGAGGGUACCCUGGGUUGCCAGGAUCCUUCUCUGGGCAGUCAGCUUUUGGGAAGAAGAAUGCUGGUUUCUGCUGGGGUGGGGUGGGGUCCUGCUGCCGUCUGACCUGCAGAUCAGGAUAAAAGGGACCCACAGACACGGUGGGGGGACCAGGGACCCCGAGACUGCUGCGUCCGGUCAGCCCAGUUCUCUGAAGAUAUUUAGCUCCUUUUUCUGGCAUAUUUAUCAGGCCCCCUUUGGUUGUAAAUGUCAGACAACCUAACCCCAAGUGCCCUGAGCAAAAGGAGCGUGUACGGACUCCAGUAAAAGUCAAGAGAGAGUUCAGUCCAGAUGUGGUUUGUUCCCGGGGUGCAGGCCGUGCCCCCAGAGCCCGUUUCUCUCCGUCUGCAUUGUUGUGUCAGUUCCGUGUUCAGGCAAGUUCAUCUUUCAAGGUGCACCAGCCAUUGCCACCCCCCACCCCACCUCUGAAGUCAAGUCUGGCUGGGAAAGGCAGCCUGUCCCCGAAGCAGAAGGCCCCUGAUCCGGCUCUUAUUAGGUCUGGGUCCCUCCUGGAACUGCACUCUAGCCAGGGCAAUGCGGUGCUCUGAUUGGCCAGGCUAGCCCUACACAUCCACCUUUGGAACUGAGGGUCAGCUCCACAGGAACUAUGAGGGCUGAGAGCAGGGAAGAGACCAAACAGUGUUUUGGUAACCUUUAACCAAAGGAAAUGGAAGUGCAUCCUAGGCAGCUACAAACAGCAGAUACUGAUGCCAGGUAGGUUUGGACCUGCGACCAGGGCCUUGGUGCUGACCUCCCACUCCUGCCUCUUUCCCGUCCACCCCCACCGCUUCACCAGCAUGGAAGUAGCGGGGAGCUGAGGAUUUCCAGCUGCUUUGAGCCCCAGACCCCUGGUGGUCAGAUUCCCCCCAGCAGUGGUGACCUCGCAUUACUCCCCUUCCACCCAGGGAAAUGUAGAGUCAGUGCUGACUGUCACAGUAAUUAGGGGAUACUAUGGGCCACUGGUGGUGACGGCCAAUAACACAAUGCACAGGACAGUCCCACACAAUAAAUAAGUAUCCCACCCCAAAACGCCAAGAGCAUCCUCCUUGGCAAUCAACGCCAUUGGGUUCACCCCAGAUACUCUGCUGUGCUGGUCUAGCCUUGGGUCUCACAGUACUUAUCAUGGACCAUAGGCAUCACUCUUAAAGAAUGGGAAACCCUCCCCCCUUGAGAACAGCCACGUUCCAAGAGUCCCCCAUCAUCCUGCUGUGUGGCCUUGUUGUCCAUCCCCUCCCCCCUCCGCCCCCCAUUAGGUCCUAGAGGCAGAGACCAGGUGUUUUCCUCUCUCAAAUCCUUCCCAGAACAUAAAAGAAUCUCGUGAGUGAAUAGGCCUGCCUCGUGAGUGAAUUAGGACCAUUUUUGAACAAACAGAUUUGGCUUGGGUUAUUGUAUUCAGAGUGGUUUAUAAAUGUAAUCAUGGGAUUGAACUAGAGUUGACCCUUGAACAAUUCAGGUUUGAACUACACAAAUCCACUUGUACACAGAUAUUUUUCAACAGUAAAUGCUGCAGUACUACAUGGCUCAUGGCUGAUUGAAUGUGAGGAAGCAGAGCAAGCGCAGAUAUAGCAGCCAACUAUAAAUUAACUCAGAUAACCCCUCAUGUUGUUCAAGGGUCAAAUGUAUUUUAAUUACUGCCAAUUUCAAGCGAUAGCUCUGUGAGUGCCAAGUCGCUUCAGUAGUGUCCAACUCUUUGUAACCCUAUGGACUGUAGCCCACCAGCCUCCUCUGUCCAUGGGAUUCUCCAGGCAAGAAUACUGGAGUGGGUUGCCAUGCCCUCCUCCAGGGGAUCUUCCUGACCCAAGGAUCGAACCUGCGUCUCCUCGGCUCCUGCAUUGCAGGCAGAUUCUUUACCACUGAGCCACUGGGGUAGCCGAGAUAGCUCCAAGAGGUGCUUUCGAAGUUUAGAACUAGAGAGAAGUAGAACCAAAUAUAUUUGUGCACAUAGUGCAAUAACUAAGGUUGUCAUGGCUGUGAGCUUGUAGACAGCCUGGUUGAGGCUAGGCUUGAGGAUUUAGCAUCUUCAACAGGCUGGACUCAGACCUCAACUCUGAAUAUGGUCUCCAGACCACGGGUUGGUUCUUCUUGGGAAAAUCAGGUCUGUCCCACUGGAGCAAUCCAUCCAAGGGUGGAAAUGAGAGUAGAAGAAGGAAAAGGUGAAACCAAGUCCAGAAAGCCCCAUUCUCCAGCACUUCCCUGUCUGGUCCACCCAGCUCAUUGGUGCCAGGAACCUAGGACCAAGUGAAAGGUGCUGAGCUUUCAGAUACUACUGUGGCCUUUAUCCAUCCCAUCGCCACCUCCGGAGGACAACAUUGUCCCACUGGUCAUGAAGCAUGGUGGGUUAUAGGUACAGAUCGUUAGUAACUAUGAUCCAGAAAACUGAACUGACAAAUCCAUCCAUAAAAAUCAUGAGAAACACCUAAGUACAGCCUCUUCCAACUCCUGCCUAGGGUCUCAGGCUCACUGUCGUGUCAGGCAAGGCAAGUCGUAACCCAAUGGAGCAAGGACAGCUUUUCACACUGCCGUUGCAAGUUGUGGCUUUACCAGGAAAUUCAGGCAAAUCCUGUGUCCCCAAGCAACUCCUCUUCUGUAUAUGUAGAAACAGCAUAUACGUAAAUAAUACGCAGAUUAUAUACGUGAUCACACCUCGCACACCCAUAGAGACUCGAAGCAGGGAUUUGAAUCAGCAAAGUGCCCUUGUCAGCAUCCCAAGAUGCAUUCCUGGCCAAAGCCAGGGGGAACUGAGCCAUGAGCUGACAGAAGGAGUGGGACCAAGAGCCUUGAGGCACCUCCUCGCUCGACGUGUAGCACCGCUGGCUGACAAGGAGGAAGCUCUCCAAGAAGAGGACCGCUUGGUCCCAGCUGCAGGGUUGAAGCAAGGAAGCUAAGCUCAGACUCCUCCAGGAGAGAGAGCUAAAAGUCUGUACAAGUCUGGGGUGACCGACCCCAGUUGAGUACAUAAAAGACACACAGGAAGGCCCACCUGUCUUCCACUGGACUCAGGGUGAAGAGUCUGGGAUGGCUGAUUCCAUGAAAACGCUGAACACCCUCCCUGGACUCUCCUAUAUGCCUUUCUCCUCCGCCUCGCUCCAUUUUUCUGCCCUUCUCUUGCCUGCCCACCUCCAGUGCUCUAGUGAACUGCUUUUACCAUGUUCUGGGGAAUCCGAUUAUACCCCAAAAAUGGUGUUUGGAUUGCAGUCUGCUGGAGAAUGGCACUGGGGUGUAGUUUUAUCUGCAGGUGUGGUUGGAGGUGAUUUUAAUGUGUUUAUGAGCCAUCUUCAGAGACACAGUGUGUAUGGAAGGUUCCAGAGACUACAGUUGCUCAAGGAGCCUGGGGCUCCCAGCAGGCCCUUGGCUGAGCCCUGGGAGUUGGAUAACACUGACUGUCUCAUCCUCCAGGGAUGAAGGAUCAUUUGGGGUAUAUUUUGGACCUUUGGGAAUGGCAUCCUGUCAUAUCACUGUCUUCUAGGAGUAUCUGAGGUUACACAUGUAGUUUUGUUGUUGUUCAAUCACUAUGACUCUUUGCGACUCCAUGGACUGCAGCACACCAGGCUUCCUUGUCCUUCACUACUUCCCUGAGUUUGCUCAAAUGUGUGUCUGAUGAGUCAGUG
RNA transcript from Bubalus bubalis (water buffalo), 6304 nucleotides. It is a transcript of the gene named spermatogenesis associated 3, with no coding region annotated. The record is from RefSeq and is a predicted model, not a curated record. Lineage: Eukaryota; Metazoa; Chordata; Mammalia; Artiodactyla; Bovidae. The transcript is spliced from 5 exons.